This 231-nucleotide long non-coding RNA is filed under the name Mytilus galloprovincialis (Mediterranean mussel). Lineage: Eukaryota; Metazoa; Mollusca; Bivalvia; Mytilida; Mytilidae. The record is from RNAcentral.
GAAAUAAAGUUGAAUUACUUGAAUUUUACACAGGAGUUAAAUGAAAACUUAGACAAAAAUAAAGAAUGUUUUAAAGCAUUAAUGUUUUAACUGAUCUUUCAAACUAGAACAUAGGCGGAUCCAGCCCCCCUUUUUUUGUGGAAAAAAUUUGGUUGAUAAUAAAGGGAAUCAUUGAAGCAUGACUGGAGCGGGCCCCCUCUUAGGUCAGUCAGCGGGCUCCCCUUAGGAAAA